RNAcentral lists this ribosomal RNA (490 nucleotides) under uncultured bacterium. RNAcentral describes it as "partial 16S ribosomal RNA". It matches the Rfam family "Bacterial small subunit ribosomal RNA", at positions 30 to 523 of the family's 1533-position model. The record is from RNAcentral.
AUUGAACGCUGGCGGCAUGCCUUACACAUGCAAGUCGAACGAGGGUAGCAAUACCUUAGUGGCGAACGGGUGAGUAAUAUAUCGGAACGUACCCUAGAGUGGGGGACAACCAGUCGAAAGACUGGCUAAUACCGCAUACGAUCUCUGGAUGAAAGUGGGGGACCGCAAGGCCUCACGCUCCUGGAGCGGCCGAUAUCUGAUUAGCUAGUUGGUAGGGUAAAAGCCUACCAAGGCAUCGAUCAGUAGCUGGUCUGAGAGGACGAUCAGCCACACUGGGACUGAGACACGGCCCAGACUCCUACGGGAGGCAGCAGUGGGGAAUUUUGGACAAUGGGGGAAACCCUGAUCCAGCAAUGCCGCGUGAGUGAAGAAGGCCUUCGGGUUGUAAAGCUCUUUUGUCAGGGAAGAAAAGGCUAUGGCUAAUAUCCAUGGCUGAUGACGGUACCUGAAGAAUAAGCACCGGCUAACUACGUGCCAGCCGCCGCCGUAA